This 1338-nucleotide long non-coding RNA is filed under the name Mustela putorius furo (domestic ferret). RNAcentral's name for it is "lncRNA (ENSMPUG00000025458.1)". The record is from RNAcentral. Lineage: Eukaryota; Metazoa; Chordata; Mammalia; Carnivora; Mustelidae.
GAAAUGAAGCUACGAAAGAGGAAGGAGUGAGGUGCAGACAUGAGAUCUGACAGGAGUGAGGUGUGGCCGAAGACUCCCAAAGGUGAUGAAGGGCUCAGGGAGAAACCCAGAAAUCAUGUGCAGGGGUCAACCAGACCAGACAGGAGCCUGCGACUCAGGAGCAAAAUACACGGAAGGAAGAUUGUGAGCGCGGUUGCCUUCUGCAGCUCUACUGGGUUUUCAUGCUGAGGAAUCUGCUCGAAGAUGUACGCCACCAAAACAAGGUGAAAACAAAGGAAGAACAAGACAUGAGAACCAGGAAAGAAGGAAUCAAAUCUAGGAGAAAAUCAAAAGGAAUUUCAAAGUCCGAGAGCGAAGGGAAGUCUGUGCAGGAGGCCUGGGAAGCAGCCAGUACAGAUGGAAGAGAAAGAAGGUCUCCAGAAAAAAAACAUCAAGAAGGAUGUCCAAAUCAGUGAACUUGAUGUUCAGCAAAAUUAAGAGCAUGAAUCCAUGGUCUUCAAAGCAAUCUUCAGGCAAUCUUCAGCAUUUCGUGGCCUGUAGAAGCAUGGACCUGACCUCUGCCUUCACAUUCAUGUGGCAUUCUUCCUAUAUGUGUGUCACCGUCCAAACUCCCCCUUUUAUAAAGACAGUGGGUCCUUUGGAUUAGGGCCCAUCCGAAUAAGCUAAUCUUAUUUUAGCUAAUGACAUCUGCAAUGACCCUAUUUUCAAAUAAGGUCACCAUCUAAUUAUGGGGGGUUAGGACUUCAACAUGUGAAUUUGGGGGGUGCACAGUUCACCCCACAACAGCAUACAUCCAAGAAGCGCUCUGUUGCUGCCCCUCCCCAUCCCAUCCGCCCUCCCCGAGAAGUCAGAGCCUUUGGGCAGGAAAACCUAAAGGAUGUGAGCCUUUCCACGCAGUGGAAUGACCGGUUUUAAAGUAACUUGAAGUCAUUCCUCUCUGUAUGGGUUUUUUUUUUGUUUUUUGUUUUUUUUUUCCAUCAACCAGAUACACAGCUACAUCUGAUUGACUUUUUUCCCUCAACUUGUAAGGGCCAUAUUUUCCUUUUGGUUUACUUUUUUCUUACAGUUAAAUAAAACCAGCCUGGGCGCCUCGGUGGCUCAGCGGGUUAAGCCUCUGCCUUCGGCUCAGGUCGUGAUCUCAGGUCCUGGGAUCGAGCCUCACAUCGGUCUCUCUGCACAGUGGGGAGCCUACUUCUUCCUCUCUCUCUGCCUGCGUCUCUGCCUACUUGUGAUUUCUCUCUCUCUCUCUGUGUCAAAUGAAUAAAUAAAAUCUUUAAAAAAAUAAAAAAUAAAUAAAUAAAACCAGCCUGUUUCCAAGGUCAAAACUACAAAACAAAA